This 484-nucleotide ribosomal RNA is filed under the name uncultured bacterium. Its description in RNAcentral is "partial 16S ribosomal RNA". It matches the Rfam family "Bacterial small subunit ribosomal RNA", at positions 28 to 523 of the family's 1533-position model. The record is from RNAcentral.
GACGAACGCUGGCGGCGUGCUUAACACAUGCAAGUCGAACGAUGAAGCUGGAGCUUGCUCUGGCGGAUUAGUGGCGAACGGGUGAGUAACACGUGAGAAAUCUGCCCUUGACUCUGGGAUAACUGCGGGAAACUGUAGCUAAUACCGGAUACUUUCCCUGGUGGGCAUCCACUGGGGAAGAAAGAAUUUCGGUCAAGGAUGAUCUCGCGGCCUAUCAGCUUGUUGGUGAGGUAAUGGCUCACCAAGGCGACGACGGGUAGCCGGCCUGAGAGGGUGACCGGCCACACUGGGACUGAGACACGGCCCAGACUCCUACGGGAGGCAGCAGUGGGGAAUGUUGCACAAUGGGCGCAAGCCUGAUGCAGCAACGCCGCGUGAGGGAUGAAGGCCUUCGGGUUGUAAACCUCUUUUAGCAGGGAAGAAGCGAAAGUGACGGUACCUGCAGAAAAAGCACCGGCUAACUACGUGCCAGCAGCCGCAGUAA